Non-coding RNA from Durio zibethinus, 1525 nucleotides. NCBI's taxonomy places the organism in Eukaryota, Viridiplantae, Streptophyta, Magnoliopsida, Malvales, Malvaceae. The record is from RefSeq and is a predicted model, not a curated record.
UGACCGAUUAGUGAUAGAAUUUAAUCAGUAAUCCGUAAAAAAAAUGAAAAAAAAAAAUUUAAAUCCCCAUUCGUUGAAAUCCCAAAUUUCCAAAAAUCGAAGUCCUUAAAAUCAAACCCCAAUAUCUCUUACUCUUCUCUCUCCCCCUCUCCCCCUUUCCACCAUGAAUCUUCCGUUUCGGUCAACUGUCUCUUUCGCCGGCCUUUGGUCAUCCUCAAUUCUGUGCUCCACAGCCGUCCUCUCCCUGACCGUUCUCCACCAUGGGCGUUCUCCACGUUUUGAAUAUCUUUUUGUCUCCUAUAUUUUGGUGACUAUGCAUUCAUGUGAAUUAAGUGUUUCUGAUCUGGGAUUCAUCAGAUUCUGUUGUUUCUACAUCUUUUUAACUCUUUUUUUGGUUAGUCUUUGAUAGUUUGAGCUUUUUUUAUAUUCACUUCAGUCGGCAACUUUUUCGUAGCAUUUUGAUUUUCAGGAAUUAUAUAGCUGGAUUUGUUUUCCCUCUGUGAUAUUGAUUAUGGUAGUUUGGAGUGCUUUGAUAUAUGGUAUGAAUAUGAGAUGUGGUAAUUUAAGGCCACUGAGAGCCACAUGUGUAUGAAUACUAGGGCAUUGAAUUCUGAUACAUGGGGGAGAAUUAAUUUGAUUUGAUUGGAUUGGAUUUGGGAAAUCCAGGUUGAAAUUCGUAAAUUUUCUUUAAUGUUUUUGGUCUGCUAUGAAUUAUUGGGAAACUUUAAUUAUGUUUUCUGUUUGGAUUGAGGCUUUCGGCCAAAGAUGGUACUGCUAUUAGAGCAGUUUCUCUUCUAUUUUUUUUUCUUUAUUUAAGUUAUUUUUGUUAAAAGUCAAUGGCUUUGACUGUAAGUUGAGAUGGUGCCACCCAAAGUGUAAAAUGCCUUUCCUUUUUUCACAAAAUCAUAUCUAAGACAAUAUAAAGAGUACUUGUUUUCCUUUUUUUUUUUUUCAUAGGAACAUUUUUUAUUUUCUAAUUAUGUUUUUUUUCAUCUUUAGUUAUAACUACACUUCCGUUUUGUUUUAAAUUUGUUUUUACUUUCCUAUAUGGAUGACUUGGUUGCAGGCAAAAGGCUGCCGAUUAGUAAGUAAAUAACAUUUCACAUAAUGGAUUGGGUAACUAAGAUUCUUGAAGGUUAAAGUAAUGAAGGGCGAUAUCAUGGGAGAUAUGGAGAAGAUAGAACUUGGGAUGAGCUUUGUCGUUCAGUGAAGGUGAGUCUAAACUGGAAGAGGUAUCAGACGAGGAUGAACCAGAUGCUAAAGGUCAUGUGGAGGACGAGGAUGACAAAUACAUUGAAGCUCAUGUCGAAGAGGAAGAGGACAGAUAUGGUAAAGCUCAAAUAGGGGAAGAGGACGAUCAAUAUGCCAAAAUUCAAUGGGAUGAAGAUGAAGAACAUGCUAAAGUUCAAUUGGACUAAGAUGAACAACUUGCUAAUGCUAUUCAAGAAAGCUUGAAUGUGGAGUCUCCAGCUAGUUAUGGGAAUUUUUAUUAUUUUAUAUUGGAAGUAAUUAUUUAUUUGACUUA